Molecule: non-coding RNA, 97 nt
Organism: Acanthosepion pharaonis
Lineage: Eukaryota; Metazoa; Mollusca; Cephalopoda; Sepiida; Sepiidae
Source: the annotation of a GenBank genome assembly
AUGGAAACACCGGCUCCCGUACGAUCACCGAAGUUAAACAACGUCGAGCCUUGUCAGUACCUAGAUUGGUGACUGCUUGGGAAUACCAGGUGAGUGC